RNAcentral lists this ribosomal RNA (501 nucleotides) under uncultured Glomus. Its description in RNAcentral is "SSU rRNA". It matches the Rfam family "Eukaryotic small subunit ribosomal RNA", at positions 569 to 1075 of the family's 1831-position model. The record is from RNAcentral. Lineage: Eukaryota; Fungi; Glomeromycota; Glomeromycetes; Glomerales; Glomeraceae.
AGCAGCCGCGGUAAUUCCAGCUCCAAUAGCGUAUAUUAAAGUUGUUGCAGUUAAAAAGCUCGUAGUUGAAUUUCGGGAUCAAUCUGUUGGUCGUGCCUUUGGUACGUACUAGCUUAUUGAUUUCUCCCUUCUGACGAACCAUGAUGUCAUUAAUUUGGUGUCAUGGGAAAUCAGGACUGUUACUUUGAAAAAAUUAGAGUGUUUAAAGCAGGCUCACGCUUGAAUACAUUAGCAUGGAAUAAUGAAAUAGGACGUUUUGAUUCUAUUUUGUUGGUUUCUAGGAUCGACGUAAUGAUUAAUAGGGAUAGUUGGGGGCAUUAGUAUUCAAUUGUCAGAGGUGAAAUUCUUGGAUUUAUUGAAGACUAACUACUGCGAAAGCAUUUGCCAAGGAUGUUUUCAUUAAUCAAGAACGAAAUUAGGGGAUCGAAGACGAUCAGAUACCGUCGUAGUCUUAACCAUAAACUAUGCCGACUAGGGAUCGGAUGAUGUAAUUUUUAAUGA